RNAcentral lists this small nucleolar RNA (94 nucleotides) under Dasypus novemcinctus (nine-banded armadillo). Its description in RNAcentral is "Small nucleolar RNA SNORA31 (ENSDNOG00000039998.1)". The record is from RNAcentral. Lineage: Eukaryota; Metazoa; Chordata; Mammalia; Cingulata; Dasypodidae.
CUGCUGCUAAGGUUUCCACUAUAGAUGCAAGAAAAGAAGGUCCCCGUGCUUUCUGUUUGGUUGCAGCAGCCAAGAUUGAAUGGGGAAUACAGGA